AGUGAACGCUGGCGGUAGGCCUAACACAUGCAAGUCGAACGGCAGCACAGUAAGAGCUUGCUCUUACGGGUGGCGAGUGGCGGACGGGUGAGGAAUACAUCGGAAUCUACUUUUUCGUGGGGAUAACGUAGGGAAACUUACGCUAAUACCGCAUACGACCUACGGGUGAAAGCAGGGGAUCUUCGGACCUUGCGCGGUUGAAUGAGCCGAUGUCGGAUUAGCUAGUUGGCGGGGUAAAGGCCCACCAAGGCGACGAUCCGUAGCUGGUCUGAGAGGAUGAUCAGCCACACUGGAACUGAGACACGGUCCAGACUCCUACGGGAGGCAGCAGUGGGGAAUAUUGGACAAUGGGCGCAAGCCUGAUCCAGCCAUACCGCGUGGGUGAAGAAGGCCUUCGGGUUGUAAAGCCCUUUUGUUGGGAAAGAAAAGCAGCAGGUUAAUACCCCGCUGUUCUGACGGUACCCAAAGAAUAAGCGCCGGCUAACUUCGUG
This 491-nucleotide ribosomal RNA is filed under the name uncultured bacterium. RNAcentral's name for it is "partial 16S ribosomal RNA". It matches the Rfam family "Bacterial small subunit ribosomal RNA", at positions 29 to 507 of the family's 1533-position model. The record is from RNAcentral.